CCUCCCUAAAUAUGGGUAAGUUCAUACCCUAUAAUAAUCUCCUGUGUAAAGUCACUGACCCAUUUCCACUGCUGCUCUCUCAUCUGCUGCUCUGAAGCCUAAACCAUGGUGCCCAGAAUCUUCGAUGCAACUCAUGAGAAGCUGGAGGACCUGGAGAAGCUGGCAACUCAAAAAGGCCAAAGGGUGCAGACAAUAAAAGCCCCAGACAAGCGUAUAGAACCACACGCCGUCUUUUUACUUGCCGUCCACUUGGGAGCCUACAUGUCCCAGGCUUCGUGUCAGACACCAGUGAUGCAGUGCUGAGUAGAAAACGCAAAGUCAGUGUCUUCGUGACGUUCAUGACAGUGAGAGGAGAGAGAGAGAGAGAGAAGGUGUGAGCCACCAUGCCCAGCCUAAAAAC
RNAcentral lists this long non-coding RNA (400 nucleotides) under Homo sapiens (human). RNAcentral's name for it is "HSALNT0398299". Lineage: Eukaryota; Metazoa; Chordata; Mammalia; Primates; Hominidae. The record is from RNAcentral.